RNAcentral lists this long non-coding RNA (1710 nucleotides) under Olea europaea subsp. europaea. Lineage: Eukaryota; Viridiplantae; Streptophyta; Magnoliopsida; Lamiales; Oleaceae. The record is from RNAcentral.
CUUAAUACUUUUGACUAUGAAUACAUGGAAGAAAUCUCGUUUCGAAUUCCUUAUGUAAAUGUGUUGAAAGAUGGGACUGAUCAUUAAUCAAUUAUUGGGCUUCAUAUAUUUGGAUUAGGUCAUUAAUGGGUUAGUGGUCUUUUUGUUUUUAGCUCAUUAGUACAAUUUCUACUUUAUGAUAAGCCAUUUAUAAUUGAGUAAUUCUUUUAUCAUCAUGAUGUUGGAAUAUCGAUGAUACAACAACUCAUUAUCCGUCACAAACCAUGUCUCUUCUCCCUCUCUCAUAAAAAUUGAACUACACAAUCUCAUUAUUCCACAUAGAUUAUCGCAUCACUGAUAUUCUAUUAUCAUAAUUGAUAAAUAGAAUUAUUAUAUAUAUAUAUUCAAAAAAAAAAAAUGACGAUUAAACCACCCCACCUGCUCUCCUUGCCAUAGGUAAAUGGCUCCAAUUAAGAGGAGCACAGCUUUCAACAGGACUCAGGACUCACACACUGGACAUGAGUAUGGGAAUAUAUAAAUCAUACUAGUCAUUGAAGGCCUCAACUACAGGAUAUGGACGUGGCGAAUUCCAAUUUUCUGUAAGUUGUGACAAGAAAUAUGGAGUUCAAGCCUUCAAGUGGCAUAGUACAUGAAGAAAAUACGACUAAAGUUUCCUAUCAACUACAAACUAAUCCAACAUUACUUCACAGGUUUGCCCGCAUAUACAUAAAGAACACUCUAAUCCUCUUUCCUCACUGCUAUCAAUUUCUUUAUAGAAGGCAGGAAAAUGAACUAUAAGAAAAACAAAUUUUUGGAAAAUUGGCAGAAACUAACAGUCAUUUCUUCAAGUGUCCACACAGUUAAUGAAACACAAGAAUACACCAAUACAAAACAGCAUAUGACACAGCUAGAAAAACCCACAACUAGCAUCUAGAAAAAUAAAAACCAUUUGUAACAAAAUAAAGGCCAAGAAGCCAAGGAAGAGGAAAAAACUGAAAAAUUUAUAAACAAACCAUUCACUGCACCGCAUGUGCCAAAAUAUUUUAGAUUCUUUAAUACUCUUCCCUCCCAUCUAUUAGCGAGUACCAAAUGUGCCAUUAAAUGCCAAAAGAAGAACAGCACCAGAAGCAGCCCCCACAUAGUUAAACAACACGGAUAUCAUAUUCUAUAGGAUUUGAUCAAAUCGUUCUAAAUUUUGAGGAAAUUAGAAAGAUAGUUUUUUUUUUUUCCCAACUGUAUUCUUCAGUCAAUGAAAUUGAAACCCACAUGAUUGAUUACCAUCACAGGCGAAAAUGAAACUAGAGCAGUAAAAUAAUUACCCGAAUAUUCAUUCCAAAGGCCAAUUGAAGUUUAAAAUUAAAAAACGAAAUAAUUUGCACAAGCAUUAACAAACAAAUUAGGAAUACAAGUACCUGCAGUGAACAAGGAAGUGUUCGAUUCGAAUGGCGUUUCAACAGACUCCGAAGCGGAAGAAAAUCUCGUUUCUGGAUCUUCAAGCCGAGUGUCUCGCAAAAUUUGCUUAACAAUGUAUUUCUGCUAAAUCUUUCUGCCUCAAUUGAAGAGGUGGGAAUUAGGUUUGAGGGGAAAUGACAAUUUUGGGGGAAAACAUAUUGGAGGCAAAGAGAGUGGAAUAACGUAGGUGUAGAAGGGUUUUUCACUAUCGAAUUAGUUAACCCAAAAAUAAAUAAAUAAAUAAAUAAAGCAUUUUCUCUUUUUCUUGCUAAAUUCAAA